GGAAAAAGGAAAGAUGCAAAGCUUCCAUUUACGAGUCAUCAGUUUGGCAAUGCAAAUUAUUUGUUGGCAUGUUCCAGGAAAUUUGUUUUCAUGCCUCUACGCAAAAUAGACAAAAUCGUGAAAGAUGACCUCUGUUUUAAAGUAAUAUGAUUUCUGCUAUGGACAACACUCGGUUGGUCUAUUAUACAGAUAUUCAAUGUUGUCGUUUGUGCAGUCAUGGAAUUUAUCUUUGUUUUAAUAAAAUAAAAGAAGAAUCAUGAGGCAAACUUAAUGUUUUCAUUUAAAUAUCAUCAUUGCAGUCGUUUGUACAGCCAUACAUAAAUUUAUCUUUGUUUCGAUAAAAAAAAAAAAGAAUCGUGAGUUUUCUCCGUUAAUUCAAGUUUAUGUGCGUUUUGCGAUUUCAAUUAAUUUUUAGAAAAGUGUACUUGAAUAGACGCAAAUGUACACAAAGCAGUCACAGUCAUAAGUUGUUUUAAAAUUCUAUUUAUAUAUAUUUUUUAUAGUCAUAUAUACUAUACUUGUAUAUAAAAUAAACAAUAGAUAUUCGACAAUUAAUUCAUUAUCCGUUUCUUUAUUAAUAAAUGAUUAUCGCGUAUUAAAGUCAGUGCAUCAUGGAAGAUGAUCAAGAACUUCUAUACAAAAUACUUCUAUACAAAAAUAUUGAUCAUAAUUGCAUUCACAUUAAGUCGAUUUUUAAUCACUACAACUUUAAUCUCUCUUAUUUUGGAUAUACAAUGUGGACGAGUUUUUUGGAAUCACCAUGAAACUUCAUAGAUCAACCCGGUCUUUCGCUUCCAAAGUCUACAAUUUCAAAUUCGUCAUGGAUAAUAGAUCUUCUGCCACAACUAGUAAAUUUCUGUUACUUAAGUAAGUGAACAAUAAAUGGAUUAUACC
Vespa velutina is the source of this 894-nucleotide long non-coding RNA. RefSeq lists it as uncharacterized. The transcript is spliced from 6 exons. NCBI's taxonomy places the organism in Eukaryota, Metazoa, Arthropoda, Insecta, Hymenoptera, Vespidae. The record is from RefSeq and is a predicted model, not a curated record.